AGGGCGCAAGCGUUGUCCGGAAUUAUUGGGCGUAAAGAGCUCGUAGGCGGUUUGUCACGUCUGCUGUGAAAUCCCGAGGCUCAACCUCGGGCCUGCAGUGGGUACGGGCAGACUAGAGUGUGGUAGGGGAGACUGGAAUUCCUGGUGUAGCGGUGGAAUGCGCAGAUAUCAGGAGGAACACCAAUGGCGAAGGCAGGUCUCUGGGCCACAACUGACGCUGAGGAGCGAAAGCAUGGGUAGCGA
Molecule: ribosomal RNA, 243 nt
Filed under: uncultured bacterium
Lineage: Bacteria
Description: partial 16S ribosomal RNA
Rfam family: Bacterial small subunit ribosomal RNA
Source: RNAcentral